GAUGAACGCUAGCUACAGGCUUAUCACAUGCAAGUCGAGGGGAAACGACAUCGAAAGCUUGCUUUUGAUGGGCGUCGACCGGCGCACGGGUGAGUAACGCGUAUCCAACCUGCCCACCACUUGGGGAUAACCUUGCGAAAGUAAGACUAAUACCCAAUGACGUCUCUAGAAGACAUCUGAAGGAGAUUAAAGAUUUAUCGGUGAUGGAUGGGGAUGCGUCUGAUUAGCUUGUUGGCGGGGUAACGGCCCACCAAGGCGACGAUCAGUAGGGGUUCUGAGAGGAAGGUCCCCCACAUUGGAACUGAGACACGGUCCAAACUCCUACGGGAGGCAGCAGUGAGGAAUAUUGGUCAAUGGGCGAGAGCCUGAACCAGCCAAGUAGCGUGCAGGAUGACGGCCCUAUGGGUUGUAAACUGCUUUUAUAAGGGAAUAAAGUGAGUCUCGUGAGACUUUUUGCAUGUACCUUAUGAACAAGGACCGGCUAAUUCCGUGCCAGCAGCCGCCGUAA
This 508-nucleotide ribosomal RNA is filed under the name uncultured bacterium. Its description in RNAcentral is "partial 16S ribosomal RNA". It matches the Rfam family "Bacterial small subunit ribosomal RNA", at positions 28 to 523 of the family's 1533-position model. The record is from RNAcentral.